RNAcentral lists this ribosomal RNA (467 nucleotides) under Treponema denticola. RNAcentral's name for it is "bacterial SSU rRNA". It matches the Rfam family "Bacterial small subunit ribosomal RNA", at positions 40 to 494 of the family's 1533-position model. Lineage: Bacteria; Pseudomonadati; Spirochaetota; Spirochaetia; Treponematales; Treponemataceae. The record is from RNAcentral.
CGGCGCGUCUUAAGCAUGCAAGUCGAACGGUAAGGGAGAGCUUGCUCUCCCCUAGAGUGGCGGACUGGUGAGUAACGCGUGGGUGACCUGCCCUGAAGAUGGGGAUAGCUAGUAGAAAUAUUAGAUAAUACCGAAUGUGCUCAUUUACAUAAAGGUAAAUGAGGAAAGGAGCUACGGCUCCGCUUCAGGAUGGGCCCGCGUCCCAUUAGCUGGUUGGUGAGGUAAAGGCUCACCAAGGCAACGAUGGGUAUCCGGCCUGAGAGGGUGAACGGACACAUUGGGACUGAGAUACGGCCCAAACUCCUACGGGAGGCAGCAGCUAAGAAUCUUCCGCAAUGGACGAAAGUCUGACGGAGCGACGCCGUGUGAAUGAAGAAGGCCGAAAGGUUGUAAAAUUCUUUUGCAGAUGAAGAAUAAUCAUAGGAGGGAAUGCCUGUGAGAUGACGGUAAUCAUGCGAAUAAGCCCG